This is a ribosomal RNA of 546 nucleotides. It matches the Rfam family "Bacterial large subunit ribosomal RNA", at positions 1802 to 2619 of the family's 2925-position model.
GUUUACCAAAAACAUGGCUUCUUGUAAUUUUCUGAUGGGGAGUCGGACCUGCCCGGUGAAUUUUUUUAACGGCCGCGGUACUCUGGCCGUGCAAAGGUAGCAUAAUCAUUUGCCUUAUAAUUGAAGGCUAGUAUGAAUGGUUUGACAAGAAUAUGACUGUCUCUUUGCAAUUUGAUAGAAUUUUAUUUUUAGGUGAAAAAGCCUUAAUUAAAUUAAAAGACAAGAAGACCCUAUCGAGCUUGAAAGAAAUUAGUAGAUGUUGAUUUUUAUUUUUAGAAAAUAUAGCUAUUAAAUAUUUUGGUUGGGGCGACUAAGGAACAUAGAAAGCUUCCUUUAUUAUUUGUUAGACAUACAGGUAUUGAUCCAUAGUUUAUGAUUAAAGAAAUUAGUUACCGUAGGGAUAACAGCAUUAUCCUUUUUGAGAGUUCUAAUCGAAAAAAGGGUUUGUGACCUCGAUGUUGGAUCAGAAUUUCCUAAAGAUGCAGAAGUCUUUGAGGGUUGGUCUGUUCGACCAUUAAAAUUCUACGUGAUCUGAGUUCAGACCGG